Triticum dicoccoides is the source of this 1329-nucleotide long non-coding RNA. RefSeq lists it as uncharacterized. The transcript is spliced from 3 exons. NCBI's taxonomy places the organism in Eukaryota, Viridiplantae, Streptophyta, Magnoliopsida, Poales, Poaceae. The record is from RefSeq and is a predicted model, not a curated record.
UCCACAAUUAAUGGAAGAGUAGAGUGAGGGAGGUAUUCCGUCCGUGUAGUUAUAGGCAGUAGCAUUUGUUUGUAGGAGAGAUGGCAGAGCAAAGCAUUUGUAGCUGGUUUCACUUGUAAAUAUGAUUUCCAUGUGUGGUAGAGAGGAGGUACAGGAUAUAUUCACCACUUGUCUGAUACUCCCUCUAUCAAAAUAUAAAGACGUUUUUUGAUACGAUACUCCGUUUGUAUCAAAAAACAUCUUAUAUUUUGAUUCAGAGGGAGUAGCAAAUAUAUUUUUUUCUGAAGAAAAAAACACAUCCUAGUGAUUGAUUGAUCCCUGAAUCCAAGUUUUACGCUGCUUAAACAUGAAAUGUAUUGACUGACUGAUUUACUGAAUUUUGUAGAUUGGUGGUCUAGGAGAUGUGCCAAGAUGGUAUGAUGCGGUGCUUUCUCCUCUUCCAGGAGAUGGAGACGGAGACAGAGAUGGACCGAGCGUAGCGGCUGGGCCUCUGCAUGCUUCUGAAGGCCCUCUGCUUGUUGAUGAGCUUCAGUAACAAUAAUGAUACGCCAGGGUGUGUUUGUUUUAUUCAGAGAAGCUCCUUUUGAAUCUUGCCAGGUAUAUUUCCAAAGUGUGAUCUUGUAUAUCGCAAUAUGCAAGGUAUUCAUCAGCUCAACCGCCUGGAAAAACAGCAAGUUCAGUGAACCAACACGCUGCAUCUGGUUUGUUUUAAUCACUUCGUGCAUUGAGACACCCUGCAGCACGACGACUCUGCCAUCAAAGCAGCCAGAGACACCCUGCAGCACGAAAGGAGAAACUUUGAAGCCGUGGCUCUGGCUUCGACAUCCAGGGUGCUGGUCAGUCCGUGCGUUUGAGAAUCAAUACACCGCGGAAUGAAACCAUGGAUGGACAGCUUUGUAUCAGAGGUUCUGUUCAGUUGUGGAUAAAUUGGACAAUGUAGGAUGGUCCUUGUCAUCAGUGUACAGAAAGAAUGAUGUGCUUCUGAUUUCGGGGACCAACGUUUGAGGCAUGCACGGUGUCUGCUUUAUGCGCGCUCGGCUUGAAAUGCUACUCCCUCCGUUCACUUUUGUAAGUCGUUUCAGACAACACAAAAUAGGCUGUUUUGUACAUUGUCUGAAAUGUUUUAAGGUCUUAUAAAAGUGAACGGAGGGAGUACUUUAUUUUACCCUUAGUGCACACUUGUUUUCCUUUCCUAGAUAAUAGUAAUGUAAUACUCUCUCCGUCCCUAACUACUUGUUGCUCAAACGAAUGAUCCAGCAGUGAACUACAACUUGAUGUAUCCGUUAGAGCGGCAAGUAAUGUCAGACGGAAGAGAUACGAGUAAGUACA